UGGGGNAUAUUGGACAAUGGACCAAAAGUCUGAUCCAGCANUUCUGUGUGCACGAUGACGGUCUUCGGAUUGUAAAGUGCUUUCAGUUGGGAAGAAAGAAAUGACGGUACCAACAGAAGAAGCGACGGCUAAAUACGUGCCAGCAGCCGCGGUAAUACGUAUGUCGCAAGCGUUAUCCGGAUUUAUUGGGCGUAAAGCGCGUCUAGGUGGUUUGAUAAGUCUGAUGUGAAAAUGCGGAGCUCAACUCCGUAUUGCGUUGGAAACUGCCAAACUAGAGUAUCGGAGAGGUGGGCGGAACUACAAGUGUAGAGGUGAAAUUCGUAGAUAUUUGUAGGAAUGCCGAUAGAGAAGUCAGCUCACUGGACGAAUACUGACACUGAAGCGCGAAAGCAUGGGGAGCAAACAGGAUUAGAUACCCUGGUAGUCCAUGCCGUAAACGAUGAUUACUAAGCGUCGGGGGUCGAACCUCGGCACUCAAGCUAACGCGAUAAGUAAUCCGCCUGGGGAGUACGUACGCANGUAUG
This 524-nucleotide ribosomal RNA is filed under the name uncultured bacterium. Its description in RNAcentral is "bacterial SSU rRNA". It matches the Rfam family "Bacterial small subunit ribosomal RNA", at positions 355 to 896 of the family's 1533-position model. The record is from RNAcentral.